GAACCAACAGGGAUUGCCUCAGUAACGGCGAGUGAAGCGGCAACAGCUCAAAUUUGAAAUCUGGCCCCUUCGGGGUCCGAGUUGUAAUUUGUAGAAGAUGCUUCGGGUGCGGCCCCGGUCUAAGUUCCUUGGAACAGGACGUCACAGAGGGUGAGAAUCCCGUACGUGCCCGGUGGUCGCCCCCAUGUGAAGCUCUUUCGACGAGUCGAGUUGUUUGGGAAUGCAGCUCAAAAUGGGUGGUAAAUUUCAUCUAAAGCUAAAUAUUGGCCAGAGACCGAUAGCGCACAAGUAGAGUGAUCGAAAGAUGAAAAGCACUUUGGAAAGAGAGUUAAACAGUACGUGAAAUUGUUGAAAGGGAAGCGCUUGCAACCAGACUUGCGCGUGGCCGAUCAUCCGGUGUUCGCACCGGUGCACUCGACCGCGCGCAGGCCAGCAUCGGUUUGGGUGGCUGGAUAAAGGCCUCGGGAAUGUGGCUCCCCUCGGGGAGUGUUAUAGCCCGAGGUGCAAUGCAGCCUACCCGGACCGAGGACCGCGCUUCGGCUAGGAUGCUGGCGUAAUGGUUGUAAGCCACCCGU
This 575-nucleotide ribosomal RNA is filed under the name Oidiodendron fuscum. Its description in RNAcentral is "partial 28S ribosomal RNA". It matches the Rfam family "Eukaryotic large subunit ribosomal RNA", at positions 56 to 652 of the family's 3401-position model. The record is from RNAcentral. Lineage: Eukaryota; Fungi; Ascomycota; Leotiomycetes; Myxotrichaceae.